RNAcentral lists this ribosomal RNA (239 nucleotides) under uncultured bacterium. RNAcentral's name for it is "partial 16S ribosomal RNA". It matches the Rfam family "Bacterial small subunit ribosomal RNA", at positions 116 to 354 of the family's 1533-position model. The record is from RNAcentral.
CGUGAGUAACCUGCCUUGGAGUGGGGAAUAACAGUUGGAAACAGCUGCUAAUACCGCAUAAUGCAGUUGAGUCGCAUGGCUCUGACUACCAAAGAUUUAUCGCUCUGAGAUGGACUCGCGUCUGAUUAGCUAGUUGGCGGGGCAACGGCCCACCAAGGCGACGAUCAGUAGCCGGACUGAGAGGUUGGCCGGCCACAUUGGGACUGAGACACGGCCCAGACUCCUACGGGAGGCAGCAG